RNAcentral lists this unclassified non-coding RNA (355 nucleotides) under Hevea brasiliensis (rubber tree). The record is from RNAcentral. Lineage: Eukaryota; Viridiplantae; Streptophyta; Magnoliopsida; Malpighiales; Euphorbiaceae.
AGUUCGGCCUGAACGGGAACAGAACGGCAAUCCCAAACCCGCCCACUAUCCAGUAUCGCCUUGAUGAUCGGGACAUGGCACUCCUUGGCCCGGCAGCACAGCGUAGGUUUCUGGCUAGUCAGGCGAGACAGGCUUCCGCAAUUUAAGUAUGGACCGUAGCCUUGGAAAACCAAGUCAGGCUCGCAGCCCGUAGUUCGGUUAGUCCGGAACGUUGCCCAGCUUGUUAAUGUCAUCGACAUCUUGUGAGUUUUUGAGCAAUCGUCCAACCAUUUCAUAAGAACGAGUAAUCUCGGCCAACCGGCCCAUUUCGCGCAUCGUUUGCACGUUGGAUUUUUCGAUGGCGCCACUGACGACG